RNAcentral lists this ribosomal RNA (460 nucleotides) under uncultured bacterium. Its description in RNAcentral is "partial 16S ribosomal RNA". It matches the Rfam family "Bacterial small subunit ribosomal RNA", at positions 338 to 795 of the family's 1533-position model. The record is from RNAcentral.
CCUACGGGAGGCAGCAGUGAGGAAUAUUGGUCAAUGGACGAGAGUCUGAACCAGCCAAGUAGCGUGAAGGAUGACUGCCCUAUGGGUUGUAAACUUCUUUUAUAUGGGAAUAAAACAGGGUAUGCAUACCCUCUUGUAUGUACCAUAUGAAUAAGGAUCGGCUAACUCCGAGCCAGCAGCCGCGGUAAUACGGAGGAUCCGAGCGUUAUCCGGAUUUAUUGGGUUUAAAGGGAGCGUAGGUGGAUUGUUAAGUCAGUUGUGAAAGUUGGCGGCUCAACCGUAAAAUUGCAGUUGAUACUGGCAGUCGUGAGUACAGUAGAGGUGGGCGGAAUUCGUGGUGUAGCGGUGAAAUGCUUAGAUAUCACGAAGAACUCCGAUUGCGAAGGCAGCUCACUGGACUGCAACUGACACUGAUGCUCGAAAGUGUGGGUAUCAAACAGGAUUAGAUACCCGAGUAGUC